AGUUAAUAAAUUUAAAUUUAUAUUUUGAAAAUAUAAUUAAGGAAUUAAAUUAUCCUAUUAACUU
This 64-nucleotide transfer RNA is filed under the name Tessmannella kiplingi. RNAcentral describes it as "tRNA-Ser". Lineage: Eukaryota; Metazoa; Arthropoda; Insecta; Hymenoptera; Liopteridae. The record is from RNAcentral.